RNAcentral lists this ribosomal RNA (255 nucleotides) under uncultured bacterium. Its description in RNAcentral is "partial 16S ribosomal RNA". It matches the Rfam family "Bacterial small subunit ribosomal RNA", at positions 524 to 776 of the family's 1533-position model. The record is from RNAcentral.
UACGUAGGAGGCGAGCGUUGUCCGGAGUUACUGGGCGUAAAGGGUGCGCAGGCGGCCGCGCGCGUGGAUGGUGAAAUCUCCCGGCUCAACUGGGAGGGGCCUGUUCAGACGGCGUGGCUUGAGGCUCGGGAGGGGGGGCGUGGAAUUCCGGGUGGAGCGGUGAAAUGCGUAGAGAUCCGGAGGAACACCGGUGGCGAAGGCGGCGACCUGGUCCUUGACUGACGCUGAGGCGCGAAAGCGUGGGGAGCAAACAGG